Molecule: non-coding RNA, 83 nt
Organism: Crenichthys baileyi (White River springfish)
Lineage: Eukaryota; Metazoa; Chordata; Actinopteri; Cyprinodontiformes; Goodeidae
Source: the annotation of a GenBank genome assembly
UGCAUGGUGGUGCAGUUGGUAGCACUGUUGCCUUGCAGUAAGUAGGUCCUGGGUUCGACUCCCAGCCGGGGGUCUUUCUGCAU